This 623-nucleotide ribosomal RNA is filed under the name uncultured bacterium. RNAcentral describes it as "bacterial SSU rRNA". It matches the Rfam family "Bacterial small subunit ribosomal RNA", at positions 37 to 638 of the family's 1533-position model. The record is from RNAcentral.
UGGCGGCGUGCUUACACAUGCAAGUCUUCCGAGAAAGCCUUCUUCGGAAGGCGAGUACAGUGGCGCACGGGUGAGUAACGCGUAGAUAACCUGCCUGGAUGUCUGGGAUAACCCUCCGAAAGGGGGACUAAUACCGGAUACGCUGGUUUGUCACAAGACGAAUCAGGAAAGAUGGCCUCUGAUGUAAGCUAUCGCAUUUUGAGGGGUCUGCGUACCAUUAGCUUGUUGGUGGGGUAACGGCCUACCAAGGCGACGAUGGUUAGCGGGUCUGAGAGGAUGAUCCGUCACACUGGCACUGAAACACGGGCCAGACUCCUACGGGAGGCAGCAGUGAGGAAUAUUGCGCAAUGGGGGAAACCCUGACGCAGCGACACCGCGUGAGUGAGGAAGGCCUUCGGGUCGUAAAGCUCUGUCAGAAGGGAAGAAGUGUUCAACGGUUAAUACCCGUUGGAUUUGACGGUACCUUCAAAGGAAGCACCGGCUAACUCCGUGCCAGCAGCCGCGGUAAUACGGAGGGUGCAAGCGUUGUUCGGAAUCACUGGGCGUAAAGGGCGCGCAGGCGGUUUGUUAAGUCAGAUGUGAAAGCCCACGGCUCAACCGUGGAAGUGCAUUUGAAACUGGCA